UGGGUGGAGGGUAGCUAGAAACAGUGACUAAGAUUCAGGGCAGGGUACUGGGUUGAUGCCGGCAAGUGGUGACUAAGGUUCAGGGCAGGGUACUGAGUGGAGGAAAGCUAGUAACUGUGACGAAUGUUCAGGGCAGGGUACUGAGUGGAGGCUGGCUAGUGGUAACUAAGGUUUAGGGCAGGGUACUGGGUGGAGGCUGGAUAGUGACAGUAACUAAGGUUCAGGGCAGGGUACUGGGUGGAGGCUGGAUAGUGACAGUAACUAAGAUUCAGGGCAGGGUACUGGGGAAGGCUAGUAACAGUGACUAAGGUUCAGGGCAGGGUACUGGGUGGAGGCUGGAUAGUGACAGUGACUAAGGUUCAGGACCGGGUACUGGGUGGAGCCUGGAUAGUGACAGUGACUAAGGUUCAGGGCAGGGUACACGGUGGAGGCUGGAUAGUUACAGUAACUAAGGUUCAGGGCAGGGU
Long non-coding RNA from Oncorhynchus tshawytscha (Chinook salmon), 467 nucleotides. The record is from Ensembl. Lineage: Eukaryota; Metazoa; Chordata; Actinopteri; Salmoniformes; Salmonidae.